RNAcentral lists this ribosomal RNA (465 nucleotides) under Vreelandella stevensii. RNAcentral's name for it is "partial 16S ribosomal RNA". It matches the Rfam family "Bacterial small subunit ribosomal RNA", at positions 338 to 795 of the family's 1533-position model. The record is from RNAcentral. Lineage: Bacteria; Pseudomonadati; Pseudomonadota; Gammaproteobacteria; Oceanospirillales; Halomonadaceae.
CCUACGGGGGGCUGCAGUGGGGAAUAUUGGACAAUGGGGGGAACCCUGAUCCAGCCAUGCCGCGUGUGUGAAGAAGGCCCUCGGGUUGUAAAGCACUUUCAGUGAGGAAGAACGCCUGGUGGUGAAUACCCAUCAGGAAAGACAUCACUCACAGAAGAAGCACCGGCUAACUCCGUGCCAGCAGCCGCGGUAAUACGGAGGGUGCGAGCGUUAAUCGGAAUUACUGGGCGUAAAGCGCGCGUAGGUGGCUUGAUAAGCCGGUUGUGAAAGCCCCGGGCUCAACCUGGGAACGGCAUCCGGAACUGUCAAGCUAGAGUGCAGGAGAGGAAGGUAGAAUUCCCGGUGUAGCGGUGAAAUGCGUAGAGAUCGGGAGGAAUACCAGUGGCGAAGGCGGCCUUCUGGACUGACACUGACACUGAGGUGCGAAAGCGUGGGUAGCAAACAGGAUUAGAUACCCGGGUAGUC